This is a long non-coding RNA of Bombina bombina (fire-bellied toad), 610 nucleotides long. RefSeq lists it as uncharacterized. The transcript is spliced from 4 exons. NCBI's taxonomy places the organism in Eukaryota, Metazoa, Chordata, Amphibia, Anura, Bombinatoridae. The record is from RefSeq and is a predicted model, not a curated record.
GUUCUGACCACACACCAUUGGGAGGUGAUUUUACAUUUUGUGCUGCUCUCUCAUAACUUUCUUACUUGGUUAGAAACGGAAAUGUUCCAAGCAGGGGGGUUGUCAGAUUGGCCUUCCAUACAAAAUAUGGUUAACUCUUUCACUGCUAGUAGGACCCACACUGCGCAUCAGAGUGCUGGCUUGUUCGGAAUCUGUCCAGCUCAAAAAUGGCUCCAGUGGUUAGAAACCGGUGUUGGCAUGGCAGAAUGGUUUUAUGGAACUGCAAGCAUAUGACAGCUUAAUUUUCUUCCACAUGGUUGUGAGGCUAGUUUGCAGAAUCUGCAGGUGAUGCUAAAGUUACCAGAUCUACAGCACCAGUUGACAUACAGCCAACACUUAGUGUCUAGUUUAUUGUCAAAAGAAAUGUUUCUGCGCCUUCUUUGUUAAAACAGGUUUUCCAGCUGGAGUACGUGUGUGUUUUGUGUAACUGCUGCUCUCAUAACUCUGUAUCCGUGGAAAGGCAUUGUCCUUGGCGUUCCUGUUUGAACUAUAAACCUGAUAUUUAUUAGCAUUUUAUUAAAGUGUUUCUGACAUCUGUUCUAUUAAUAAAGUUGUGACUGAUCUGAUCUCA